RNAcentral lists this long non-coding RNA (767 nucleotides) under Panax ginseng (ginseng). RNAcentral describes it as "long non-coding RNA (PGIN_LNC003406)". The record is from RNAcentral. Lineage: Eukaryota; Viridiplantae; Streptophyta; Magnoliopsida; Apiales; Araliaceae.
GGUAAUUGACAAAGGUAUAUCAACAUGUGAAUAAAUGCCAUGAUUAUCCAAGUGGGGACACUUGUAUAACCAUUUAGAAAUCAACUUAACAGAAUAUAUAUCUGAGCUAACAUGUUGAUAAUCAAAGCGUACAUAAUCUGUACAGGAAUAGAAUAAUUCUGAAACUUCUUACUCAUGUCCAUUGCAUAAAGGAAAUGCAAAGGUAAGAUACUUGCCUGAUUCGCUGAUUACAAAUCUCAACUUAGGUUUUAUCUCUUUAUCACAACCUAUCAAUAAUCAGAUCAUUCGUUCGAUUAGAACAAUAUAUCAUAACACAUAGUACUGUCUAUUACAGUCAGCACAUAGUCUAAUCACGUCAUCACAUAAUCGCAGUGAUCAUACUUUUAGUUCAUAUUCUAUACUUGAAAUAUUUUUAUACAUUUUUCAAAUAUCUCAUCCAUGCUCUUACAGAAGCCUUUUCUUUCUAUUAUAGGGUCUGACAUUUGUCGGCGUACCGACAGCUUUAUCGGGUAAAUACUGAGUCUAAGACUCUUAUCCUAUACCUCAACAUCUGUAAAUAUCAAACAUUUUAUUUUUAAUCAUUUUCGAAUUUUCCAGAAAUUGAAAAAUUUAAAAUAAUUCAAAUCUGUCACUACCGGGCCUAUAGUGAUAUAACUGUUACUAUAGGUGUUCCUCAAAACUUCAUAACUUCAUAAUCGGUUCUCAAGUCAGCUAGUUUGGCCGGCUAUAACUUUCAAACAUCGGAAUCAUAAUUAAAUGAUUUAAAC